GACGAACGCUGGCGGCGUGCCUAAUACAUGCAAGUCGAACGCACAGUUUAUACCGUAGCUUGCUACACCAUAGACUGUGAGUUGCGAACGGGUGAGUAACGCGUAGGUAACCUGCCUGGUAGCGGGGGAUAACUAUUGGAAACGAUAGCUAAUACCGCAUAAUAUUAAUUAUUGCAUGAUAAUUAAUUGAAAGGUGCAAUUGCACCACUACCAGAUGGACCUGCGUUGUAUUAGCUAGUAGGUGAGGUAACGACUCACCUAGGCGACGAUACAUAGCCGACCGGAGAGGGUGAUCGGCCACACUGGGAGUGAGACACGGCCCAGACUCCUACGGGAGGCAGCAGUAGGGAAUCUUCGGCAAUGGACGAAAGUCUGACCGAGCAACGCCGCGUGAGUGAAGAAGGUUGUCGGAUCGUAAAGCUCUGUUGUAGGAGAAGAACGGGUGUGAGAGUGGAAAGUUCACACUGUGACGGUAUCUGACCAGAAAGGGACGGCUAACUACGUG
Molecule: ribosomal RNA, 505 nt
Filed under: uncultured bacterium
Lineage: Bacteria
Description: partial 16S ribosomal RNA
Rfam family: Bacterial small subunit ribosomal RNA
Source: RNAcentral